AAGACUAUACUUUCAGGGAUCAUUUCUAUAGUAUGUUACUAGAGAAGUUUCUCUGAUCGUGUAGAGCACCCGAAACCAUGAGGAUGAGUCAGAGCACCCUCUCCUGAGCGUGAAGCUGGCUCUAGGUGUUGCUUUUGCAACUGCCUUUUGCCAUUGAUGAUCGUUCUUCCCUUCUUUUUGGAAGGGUAAGAGGGAGAGGAUGCAGUCUGAGUGGU
This is a small nucleolar RNA of Sorex araneus (European shrew), 215 nucleotides long. RefSeq annotates it as small nucleolar RNA U3. Lineage: Eukaryota; Metazoa; Chordata; Mammalia; Eulipotyphla; Soricidae. The record is from RefSeq and is a predicted model, not a curated record. The transcript has a single exon.